UGCUACCAACUGGCCAAUCCGAGAAACAGCGAAGGUGAGCUAGAGGCGCGAGAGGUAGCGGGAAUGGAGCGUGUGCGUUUGAUUGGCUGAGAAGCAGGUAGAGGCGGACUUACUACGUUCCUUGAGAACAAUUUGCAUCAUAUUUCAGUCUUCACUAAUACGAUAUCUGGAACAAAAAUAUAUAUAAAAAUAUUCAAGAAGGAGAAAUUCAAGGUAAAAACAGAGUGCAUUAAAACUUGAAAGACAAAGGAAUGGAAUUAUGAAAUGGAAUAAUAAACAUAAGCUGGAAUCAUAUCUGGCUAGAAUGCUAUGGGAUCCUCGGACAGUCUGUGAACAUAUAUCUGACAUUUGUCCGGACUGUCUUGUUUUGGCACUGUGUUUAUAUAACAUGGGUCAUCAAGCAUUCUGCCAUUGCUAACUUGUGGUUUCAGUAAUUUGGAAGGUGAGU
Molecule: long non-coding RNA, 448 nt
Organism: Xenopus laevis (African clawed frog)
Lineage: Eukaryota; Metazoa; Chordata; Amphibia; Anura; Pipidae
Exons: 4
Source: RefSeq, a predicted model, not a curated record